Molecule: long non-coding RNA, 537 nt
Organism: Triticum dicoccoides
Lineage: Eukaryota; Viridiplantae; Streptophyta; Magnoliopsida; Poales; Poaceae
Exons: 5
Source: RefSeq, a predicted model, not a curated record
GAUUUCAGACUCUGCUUUUUCUACAGACUAUUCUGAAAACAAUGUCUCAAAGUAGGAUGUAGAUUGCGUUUGAUAUGGAUUGUCCUGCUUGUGUACUGUUUCAGAGGAUCCAAUCCCGCACACACAGCUGAGUGAUAUCCAACAUUUUAACAUCAUACAUCAUGAUGGCACCCAGGUUAUGACUUGAUUGAAAUUAAGUGGAUGCAAUGAAGGAAAAGAUUGUUUGGCACGAGGACACAGCAUUCCGGAGAUCUGCUGAGGGCUGGAAGUCAUUUCUGAAAUACUUGUUAUUUGACAUGGGGAUUCGGCAUUUCGUAGAUCCGCCGAGGGCCAGAAGUUACUCUCGCAAUGCUUAGGAUCCGAUCCUGCACACACAGCUGAAUGAUAUCCAACAUUUUAACAUAAUACAUCAUGAUGGCACCCAGGUGGAGCUGUAUAGUAGCAUGGCAUCACCAUGGAGCUAAGGAACGCUGCCUCCACCUCAGCAGAGGCACUUCUUCUGAGCAUGGACAUGGCGUACUCCAUCACCAUGGCGUC